GAAGCGCUCGGAGUGUGGUCGGGGAGAGUUGUAUCGAUUUUACGAUCGGUCUUCGGUCUCGCGCGGGCUUAGUUGCGCCUCCACAGUUUCGCUUUAGUUUUUUAGUGGCCGUGCGACUCACCCUACGCAUCGUGUGUUCUAUAUGGAUAAAAAAUCGUGAAUGGGAUUACCAAUUAGGUGCUACAAAUUCGUGCGUUCGUUUACUCGAUAAUCGUCGUUUAAAAUCAUGACCAAGGAUAGAUUAGCAGCCCUCGUUGCGGCCCAGUCGGACGAUGACGACGUGGCGGACGAGGUGUCCGUUCCCGUGGGCGGUCAGGAUGAUUUCAUGACGGAAUUCUUCGCAGAGGUGGAGGAGAUACGUGAAAUGAUCGACACGAUCCAGACGAAUGUCGAAGAAGUUAAGAAGAAGCACAGCGCCAUCCUAUCAGCGCCGCAGACCGAUGAAAAAGUCAAAAUGGAAUUGGAGGAUCUCAUGGCCGACAUCAAGAGAACCGCCAACAAAGUCCGAGCCAAGUUAAAGGUGAUCGAACAGAACAUCGAGCAGGAGGAGCACACGAACAAAUCCUCAGCGGAUUUGAGGAUACGUAAGACUCAACACUCGACGUUGUCUAGGAAAUUCGUCGAGGUUAUGACCGAGUACAAUCGAACGCAGACCGAUUACAGGGAAAGGUGUAAGGGAAGAAUACAGCGACAGCUCGAAAUCACGGGGAGAACCACGACUAACGAGGAACUCGAAGAAAUGCUUGAGCAAGGAAAUCCGGCGGUAUUUACUCAGGGGAUUAUAAUGGAAACGCAACAAGCCAAACAGACACUCGCCGAUAUCGAGGCUCGUCACGCUGACAUUAUAAAAUUAGAAAAUUCCAUCAGAGAACUUCACGACAUGUUCAUGGACAUGGCAAUGCUUGUCGAAAGUCAGGGCGAGAUGAUAGAUCGCAUAGAAUACCACGUGGAGCACGCGGUCGACUAUGUCCAGACAGCGACCCAGGACACCAAAAAAGCACUCAAGUAUCAAAGCAAAGCCCGACGGAAAUUGAUCUUCAUCGUAGUCUGCCUGACAGUGGCGGUCAUCAUUUUAAUUAUCAUUCUGGUUGUUAAUUUGUCAUAAUGACGGGAAUGAGCGAAGAACGCCAUUUAGCACUUGCAUCAAAUCAUUUGGAAUUGAACGAGAGACAAAAAAAUACUUAAAAUCGUGAUGAUAACGUUAUAUGGCGGCGUAUUCGAUAAUGGAAUCUAAAAUCUUGUAUAUUUCACCGAGCAUCGGGUUUUUUGCAUCGGGAUGAGAGGUCGGAGGGGGAGGGGGGAAGCUGUCGGUCGUCUCGACCGCCGCAAGUUAAGUUGAUUCUAAUUUCUCAUCGAUCUAUAUAUCGAUUGCACCGAGAGUUAAGUCAUCGUAUAAAUAGCCUCACCGAUCUUAUUUACUAAGUUUAUUAUUAUUAUUAUUAUUAUUAUUAUUAGCAUUAUUAUUAUUUGUAUUUUUCUUUUCGUCGUUAUUCCUACUAUUACUACUACUGAUACUAAUAUCGCUAUUCACAAUACCACGGUUAUUAUUAUUCUUAUUAUUAUUAUUAUUACCACUAUCGUUCGAUGAUUAUUUAUUAUAUUGUUUCAAUUAAAAAACGUUACUUUUAUCCCAACGAUUUGGUUUGUUUCCUCAUUGAAAAAUGGCUGAUAGAGGGCAACGUCGAUGAAACUGCGGUUGUGCGCGUUGUUCCGCGCGAAAUCGUUAUUACGCCGGUGAAUUUAGAAAAAAAAAGAAAACGCUCCGUUGAAGGAACAGUAAGCGCACGAUCGAGAGUCUAUUAUCGCCAUAAGCCGGUUCGAUAUUCGCUCGAGCAUAAUAAAUUCAUGAAAAAAAAAGUUGAUCGGCCAAAGAGGAAGGAAAAAAAAACGAGUAUGAAAGAAUGAGGAAGCGUGCACAUAAGGUUGACCGUCGCUAUACGAAUGAAGAUAAAUAUAAAAAUAAUGCCCAUUCGACUCGAUGUAAAAUGUAAAUAUGCGGCGUGCUACGAUCAGUUGUAAAAUAAGUGAAGAGUAGGAAGUAACGAAAAUGUUAUGGCAAACUAUGAAUGGUAGUUUACCAAUGAUAAUGAUUUAUCGAUAAAAAAGACGUUUGAAAAAGAAAUUUAUCGUUUAACGAAUUGCGCUCGUAAUGAAUAUUAUUACAAUACUCUACGCGAUAAAUGAAUAAUAAAUGGAAAGAGAGUGAGAUGGAUAAGAUGGGCGAGUUAAUAAUGACGAAUACCCGACGACGGAGAUAACACGAGAAAUCAAACGACGAUAAUAAUAAAAUAAUUAGGAAAAUAAUAAGAAACGAAUAAACUGAUUGGGACGGUAUACGAGAGUGUUAAAAUUUUCCAAAAUAAUUCGACACAAAUCGAAAAUAGAUAAUAAAUUCUCACGUAUGGCUCAUUAACGACUAGGGGAAUGCAAUGAAAAUGAGAAUAGCGAAGCGAAAUUACUUUCGAAUAGGAAACGAUCCCGGUAUAGUGUGAUUUUUGCGGGGAGGGACGGGGGGCCUCCGAGGGAAAAACGUGGCGAUGCGCACAGUCGCGUCGUGACAAAGGGAGGACGAAAAAUUAAGCAAACGUUCGAACGAUGCGAGACGAGGGAAACACAGGAACGAACCACGUUAAAAGUGUACUUUUUUGGCUAGUGCGUUUUAGCCACUUCCACUUGGAGUUUCAAAGAAGAUCAUGAUCAUGAUCUGUCUGACUGUACUGGCCGUCAUCGUUGCUACUACCAUUGGCAGUUACUUUGGACUGUGAACGCGAAAACCAGGAACCUCGGAGGGCAUUAAGAUCGAGAGGACCCUCAUCGCCGGAUUCCAUGGCCUCGCUUCAUUGAUCGUUCCCGAAAUAUAUAAAAGUUCACGCAUACGACGAAAGAGUCGCUUUAAGUUAUCGAAGGAUCAUCGCUCCGAGAAAAUUUGGGAGAAAAGAAGAGCGAAAAAUGAGCGGUCACCAUGGAUUAUUGAAAUAGUUUAUUUCAUCAAAAGUGGAAUAAGAAAAGAAAUUCGAGUCCCAAUCACUGUUAUCGCGCAUCAAUUACACUCUCGUAUUCAUUGUCUCGUCACGAAUGAAAGGAUCAUGAAGCGUCUCUCAUUCAGUCCCAAGCUGUCGUCGUCGCCGUCGUCAUGGUUUCUGCAAAUGAACACUGGUCGUUGAAGAGCUUGCCGCAAGUACCGCUGGUUCGGAAGAAGACAGAAGAACGAAGAGGAAGAUAGGCAACUUGACCGCGACGCGCCUAAACUAUUUAUUGUUUAAGCUGUGAAGCACACACGAUUGAAUAUUCUUUAAGGCCGGAGUUUCGGUCUGUCAUUCGUACGCUCUCUCUCUCUUUCUCUCUUGGCCUCUCUACGAAUGCGUUCGACUUGUGGAAGCUUUCGUGCACCAAGCGCCGGAGGCUCUCGAGUCUAACGCACUCGCUGCUGUAUCGGCCUCUCUCCGCGAGGGGAUCAACGAGGAAGGAAGAAAGAGAGCGAGAGAGAGGGGGAAUACGCGGAUCGUCGGGAUUCGCCGGGUGAUAAACUUAAGCUAAAUGAUGCAUACUUAGGAGGCAGACUCACAAAAUAAAUCGACAAAUAAGGAAGAAAGCGAAAAAUAAUCGUGAACCGCGUCCUGCCGAUCUUCACCAUAAGAGGUUUAUCGACGAAUUAAUUAACAUUUUGCUGCAGCAAUAAUAUAAUUAUAGGUGUUAUAUCGGAAGUAUAUUUAUUAAUAGAGAAUGAUUGAAGAAAGGAGAAGGAAAAAGGGAGCGUGAGAGAGGCGGUGGAGGAGAAGAAUCAGAAUUCACUCGAGUGGGCAGUUUUUAUUCUUUCUCUUUGCAAGCCAAUGCCAACGUACGGUGCGCAUACGCACCGAUAUACAGGCGUAUGCGCGCGUUACGAGAUUCAUGAGAGAGUUGUGAACGCUAGAGAGAGAGAGAGAGAGACGGCGAGAAGAACAACUCUGUGCUCAUUUCAAUCGGCAAUAAUUGACCGAUGAAUCCGGUCAAUACUGUAUUACGUCGAUGUUUUUCAUUGAGUACGUCAGGUUGGAGGAGGAAGGAAGGAACGAAAUAAACGAAUAUAGAAAUAAACAAUAAUAAUUGAAAUAUAAAAAGUGGCGUUUGCACUCGGGGCUCACAAUGCGAGUGAGACAAAAGAAAGAGGAGCGAGGACACCUUGUAUUGUACAGAAAGUGUAAUUUGUUAGAUCGUUAUUUGACCCGAUUAUUCAAUUCUGAGCUAACGUAUGUAUACAUAUAUAUGUGGACUCGUAUAUGUUUGUAUACAUACGCGAUAUCGUGAUUCAAAGAACGGCGACGUUAUAGCCACUGAUGACGAAAUAAUUAUUCGGCUAAUCAAUCGAUUUGGUUUUCGAGCGAGUCUCGAUACGCGUGUUACUUACAGUUAUUUUGUUGUAUGAAAGAAAAUAGCGAAACAGUCGAGGCACGUGCGCGCGAAGGCUCACGACUUUCGAAACUCUUGAAAAUUCUUACGAAGGAAGGAGUAUCGAAUUGUUGAGAGGGAUGAGAGGGUCGCGUCAUUAAUUAUUCUCUCCGGCGCUACCCUAACGAGAUGCCUCCCGAAUUGAGAAACGACCGAAUCCUCAUUCGUCUCAAAAUGACCAAACCGCUCCCGCUCGUAUCAUCGCGCGUUCUUGUUCUUCGUUGCGUCACCGAAUCUCGUCGAUGACGGGCGAUAGUUUGAGCGCAUAUCAGGACUCGUCUCUGUAGAAUUCCGCAAUCGCUUCCCUUAUCGUCAUCGUGUGUUUCGGUAGCUCGGUUUUCCUUGCUUUUUUUUCUCUUUCUUUAUUUUCUAAGCCUAAUCGCUGAAGAUAGUAUUUAAAGAUUUUUUUUUCAAUACGCGUCGGUCGAAAAAUUCCCGUGUUCAUCGGUAAGCCGCGUUUGGAGUGCUUUUGAAAAACUACGAAAAAUCGAUCAAGAGUGAAUAAAAAAAUGUCAAUUGUGUUUGGAAAUCCCAUCCGGUUUAGCGUGAUUUUCGUUUUCAACAGAUGAUGAAGAAUGACGAUAACGACACUAUAAAAAUCGCAAAGAAAAUCUCGAAAGUCCAAGCGCGAUGAUGUUUCAUUCUCAAUCCGUCGCGCCACACCGAGCGUUGUCAUAAUUCUAAAAACCGCUCGCAAUCCUAAGAACAAAUGUAUCGUUAGGCGUCGUAUAACAAGGACGGGAUCGCACGGGUCGCUAGCCCGGCUCCGGACUCGCUUCUUCGACUCUCGUAACUUCCUGUAACGAUCAUAUAACGACGGCCCGAGCGAUGACGCCACGAUCUCAAAACUACGACGCAUCCAAACGCGCAAAUAACUCUCGCGUUGUCGGUUUGCUUUGCCGACUCAAUCCUCGUUGCUGCAUCGAUCAUCGAAUCGACUCGAUCGAAAAACGAAACGGAACGUCCGUUCGGGGGUGGAGAACGAAAGAGGGAGGCAGGCAGGCAGUUACGGGGGCGUGAAUAAUCGAAGGUAGUAAUAACAAUAAUAAUCAUAGGAGAAUGAAAUCUCUCGUGAAAACGACACAGCGUGUUGGAAGGCUGGCGGGAAAAAGGGUGGAGAAGAAACAGCGAUCGAAGACUCGUUAGAUUUCAGUCGAUUCGAGUCGCUCCGCAGGAGCUGUUUUUUGUUUUUGAUUUUCGCGCGCUCGAGAGUAACGAAUAAAAGUUCAGCCUUACGCGGCAAGUCCUGUCUUGGAUAUUGAAAAAAUCGUGUAUAGUAAAAUACCGAUAAAAGUAUAUAAUUACGGAAUACAAAGGGGUCCCGAGGCUACGAUCGAAUUGUGUGAAUACACAUUUAAUCGUAUUUUUCAAUACUUUUGAGCUGCUCCAAUGGAAAGGAGAAAAAAACGAACGUUUCCCCUCGGAAUACAAAAGCGGGGAAUAAAAUGCUUCUUCGAGUUACGGCCGAGUAUGAUAUAGAGAUAUGCGUAUAAUAGAUUAUAUUGGGAUGCACGCGCGCACCAAUCAUAUAGAGAAAAGAAACUUUCGAGCUUGGGGCUUUCUCAAAGCAGCGUUGAUCGAGGCACGAAGCAACAAAUGUCGGGCAGGAACGCGCUGCUUCUACAUCCUUAUUAAAUAAACGUGAAAACUGCAAUCGUCUCAUAGCGAGGUAGCUCGCAACAAGUCACCGUCGCGUUUUCGAUUUCGAGCCUAAUCUCAAAAUGCGCGCGUUAUUUAUCGAGCUUCGAGUCGUUCGUUCGGCCGGUCCGUGUCCGUCGGUGUUCCACCUUCCCCGAACGUGAAAACGAUCGAUUCGAGAUGUUUUAACAUACUAUUUCCGAUAAAAAAAAAAAACAAAAAAGAAGAAAUUGAGAUUGAACGAAUUCGGCUCGCCCGUUGCGCUCGAUCUCGUAUUGAACCGGAUCUGGGACGACUGGCGCAUCGUCCCAGUUAUGUUCGACGACGAUCUUCGUUUCAUUGUCAAUUUAGCGCUCGCUGCAUGAAAACGAGGUUGAUGCGCCGCCGCGCGAUAAAUAACUAUGAUAAGUGGAAACGAAUGUUGCGCCCAAUCAUUGUAAAAAUUCACAUUAGAAAUUUCUUCAUUCGUCUCAUCCCGAUGCGAGCUGGAGGCGAGAGCUAGUUUCGUUAUCCGCGCGCGUUUUAUUCAUACGCGAUCAAUCACACACGGCUCUUGAAUAUAUAGAAAAUGGUAUCCCUCGUUAUAGGAAUUGAUCGGAAGAAAAUGAAAAUAAAAAUAAAAUAAAAGAGAGAGAGAGAGAGAAAGAAGAGAGAAGAAACAGCAACGUUAUAAUAAUAUAUAAAAGUUAAUUAAUGAAAAUUUCUUAUCGAUAGAAGAAUAUACGAGAGUAAUGUUUGAUCUUAGAAAAGUGCACAAGCGAUUGGGUGUUUACGAGUUUGAGGCCUAAACUUGGUUCGUUGAGGUUGACCUCUGAAAUAAUAGUACGUCAUCGCGCCUUGAAACUCCUUUGAGUCUAGUCGAGAAUAAAGCCGAGUGGUAUUUUUCGUGGGAAUACCCGGAUGCCCGGCGGCGGUGAUGCAACAGCCUCCGCCCCUUUUCGACGACGAUUAUUAUAUAGGAGAGGGUGCGAAUUAUCCGCCAACUCGCGACUCCAAAAAAUUCUCCUCUCAUCGUUCAGCAUAUGCUUCGUUACGCUCCUUCCAAUAUCUGUUCGGACUAUAUAUCGCCUUUAUUCGAAUCUCACUGUACAACGUAUGAAUAAUUUCAUAAAUCUGCUUAGCCACCGUCUGUGAACUCUGCGUAACGCGUUACGACUAUUCCCGAAGCGAAUGGAAAGCCGUGUCCGACGAGCGCUCGGUUUCAUUUUUGCGGAAGCAAUUGUCACACGCAUAUCCGAUCGAGAUUCGUUUCACUCGGGAGUUCGAUUGAGGCACGACUCUGCUACGAUCGAUUUACCGCUCGAAUGAGCCACGACGCUCCAAAUUGACAAACCCAAAAAAAAAAAAAAGAGAGAGAAAAAACAAACACUUCCUCCCGGAGAUUUCUCCAACUUUUCAUCGAAAAAAAUCUUGAACGCACCAAACUAUUUCUUUCCUCCGUCAUUGAUGUUUUCUCCAAAUAACAAUAACGAUAAUAAUAUAAUAAUAUUAAUAUUAAUAAUAUAAUAAUAAUAAUAAUAAUACGAAUGUGAUUCAAAGCCCCGCCGCGCAUGAUAAUGUUACAUUCUAUCCGUACGUGCAACAUAUUGCCAAGUUUCCAACUAUUCUUUGUGUACCAAAGUCGGUAGUGAUGAAGAAACAACGUUUUUAAUGCGUGUGCCUCGCUCGAACACCAUCCGUUCGGCCGGGUGGCACGGUCGUAUUUAGCUUGACAACCAGAAUUACAACCGGUACAACCAUUUCGCUGUGUAUGUCGCUCGUUGGGCGUCGCUCGAGGCAAUUUUAAUCUCAUUAUUACACGGCCAAAUGGUUGAGCCGAAUACCGAUGCGGUGUAACGAACUGAAAACAAUAAUAGAAAGAAAGAAAAAAAAAAAAAGAAAAAAAGAAAUGUAGGAAAAGAAAAAGAAUUGAGAAUAAAAGUUAAGUUGGCAUUACAACGGAAACGAGUUACGUGUACGCGUAACUGUGUAUGUUGACGCUAUUGUUGAACGCCCUCAUCCGCAUUUUUCGUCGAAUGAAAUGUGCUAAAUGUCCAUUUCAAGUAGCGGAACAUUUCUUGCCUCAGGAUUGUACGUACUACUUGGAUCGGAGCGUACUCCUAAGGGGAGGCAAAAUUGGGGAAAAAAGGGAAGAAACGAAAAUGUGUGAUAAGAAUGGAAUUCUAUAAUUCAUGGCAAAUUAGAGGGCAAAAAAAUACGUGUAUGGGUCGUAUCACAUCGGUGCAAUUAUAUAGAGAAAAAAGAAACUAUAUUAAAAACAAAAUAAGUAAAUAAUAAUAAUAAUAAUGAUGAUGAUGAUGAUGAUGAAAAAAAAGAACUAACUACGAAAGGCUAUUUGAGUAACCUUAUGAGUGUCAAUUCCACUUUCAAACUGAGUCAUUAUUUUGAGGUAUGAAGAAAAGAGAUGAAAAACGAGGCGAACGGGCGUUAGGUAAAAAAGGGGGGAAGCAAGGAAGAGAUGAAAAAAAGACGGUGGGAAAGAGGCUGGGAGGAAAUACGAUGUAUUGGGAAUUGCGAAAAUCGAAUACGCUAUGACGGAGAUAUAUUGCGUGGCACUUGGACAUUUAUGCGACAAAGUGAGAUUAUUGAUAAUAUAAAUUAAAGAAAUACAGAGAAAAACAAAGUAAAUAAACACGAAGAAAAAGAAGACGACGAUAUAGCGAGAAGAGGCAUUGAAUGAUAUGGCGAAUACUUUUUAUUGUAGGUAUUUCAUAGGAACAAAAAAAAUCAUUAAUAAAGAUAUACUGUAUUAAAAAUUACUUAUCAAAUAAAUCAAUGAUGUUUUCUGCCUAUACUACAUCUUAAGAUACGUAUAUUGGGUAAUUUCGAACGGAACAGUCAUCCCACCAAAUUUCUUGGCGACCGCGUAUAUUUUUCGCCACUGUCGUUUAUAUUUUCAUUCUUGUUCUCGUUCGCAUCAUCAUCGUUUGUCCUGUUAUAUCCAGAAUUGCGAAGUUGAUCCUAGGAACGUUUUAUAAUUGCUAAACUCGUUUGAAGUUAAAGGACGAGAAGGUCGAACGAAAGUUGUUCCGUUAAUAAAGCUGAGUCUAUGGGCGGCGCAUGGUUAAGCUUUUUUUUUUUAUAGAUUUUUAAUGGAAAAGUCAUCCGUGAGGUGGGAAAGCUUGCAAGUUUUUCAAUAAAAUUGCAAGAACUUGAGCGCUUACUUCGACAAAUAUAUAACGAUAUUAAGGUAUGCGCCGUGUGUAUAAUGCGAUAGAGAAAUGUACUUACUUCGGAUACUCCAAGCUUUCUAUUCAACAUUUUGCCCGAAAAUUCAUGGUUUUAGGUCCCUGCACGCGACGCGACAUGAGGCCACUGCUCGAUUCAUUCAUGAAAUUUCAAGAUUUAAAGUCAUCGAGAAUUUUUUUUCGAUUCAGCGACUCGAUCGAGGAAACGGUGGCGCAUUUUGUCAUGGCCGAGAGUCGAUCGCGCAUCGUCCGAGUUGCAUUUGUCGAGGCGUCUCUCAAUAGUUUUUCACCCUUGUUCGGAGAGACGAAAAAUAUUGAAUUUCCUAACUUUUCGUCUUGUUAUUUUGCCGCUUAUUAUUCGAUACACGCAUUUCGGACGCCGUUUCUCGGACGAUUCUCACAUGUACCUUACCGCGCUUCCUCUCAUUUUAUUAUAAUCUUUUAUCCCGUUGAGUUAUUUCAUCAAGUGUCUUUAGCGCUAACGAUUCAAUAGGCUCGCGCGCGCGAGCGCGUAUGCGCGGCUAAAACCUCGACGAGUGGUGCCAGCGGCGGAGCUGAGGUUCAUUUGCAGUGCGAUAGAUAAGAGUCUCGAGCCAUUUAUUUGGGAGAGAGCGUUGUGGAUGCGGAAUAUUAAAAUUUCGCUCGUGUCGAUGCGAAGGAGAAUCCGGCGCGGCGCGUAUAUGCAUUCGACCCCACCCACCCGCCGAGACUCUUCGGGUACAAGUUCAAGACUUUUGACAUAUCGGUCGGCACAUCGGUUGAUCCCAAAUUUAAUUAAUUAAAUAAAAGCAUUCUUCGAUCGCGUGUUAAAUGCAGAAAAAAUGGAAAUAAUGUUUUGUAUAUACGAGAAUGAAAAAUGUAGAAAACAAUGUACAACCGCGAAGUUUGGAAUACGUCGCGCCACCCCCGCCGCCCUCGUCGUUUCGCCAACACUCGCAAUCCGCGCGCAUACCAUUAUUUUCACAAUUUAUAUAAUUAAUAAAAGUAAAAUAAAUGAAUAAAUGAAUGGAUCGAAAUCUAGAAUAAAAUGGUCGGAAUAAAAACAACUCGGUAGUUCAGUUGGGCCGAAAAAGCCUGCGAAGCAAUCCUAAACAACGAGAGCAUUCCCAUAAAUGAAUUUCAGCCAAGAUCCUUUACAAAAGUAUCGAUCCCGAAGGGCCUACAGUCGUUGUUGUUGGGACGGUGGCGGUGGCGGUGACGUAGAAUCAAUGCGAGAACUCGAAGAGAAUCAACCGAGCGAUUCGUCGUAGCUAAUUUUUUAUCGCGGCCAUAUAACAUAUAUUUUAUUUAAAAAUAUGUAACAUUAUUAGUGGAUGCCCGAGACGAUGGACAUUAGACUAGACGACGGAAGGAAGAGCAUUGCGAUUGGCCAAGUGAUACGAGCCUCGCGAAAAUAAUUGACGACGAAAGGAUAAAUAAAAAACGAGAAUACUAAAUGUAGCAAGCAAUAAUAAUAAUAAUAUUAAUAAUAAUAAUAAUUCGACAGACGUGAUUCUCUCAAAUGUCGCUUAAUAAUGAGGAACGUUCGUUAUUAUUAUUGUUAUUAUUAUUAUUAUUAUGAUACAUAUUUGUGGGGAUGAUAGAGUAUCGGACAUUAAAGUCUUGGUAAGAAGAAGAAACAUUUUUAUUAUGCGUCUAUCAUAAAGAUAAAAAAAGGGCCGAUUUACUGGCCCAACGUACAGCAGCAUCGUUUUGCAUAUACAACACAAUCUGUACAAUUGCAUACACGAAAAAAAAAAAGAAGCACUGCGCCCAAACGAAGAUAUAGAAAAGAAUAGGCUCGUCGAAAUGAUAGCGAUUUCAAAGUUUUUUGUGUCACUGGAGCGCGUAGUAUUGAAUGUUCUAUUAUUAAAAUGCACCAUGAUAAUAUUAUCAUCGUUGGAUUAUCUCCAUGGGACUUGAAAUAAAAUGAAUCCGAAAUUAUAAUAUACUCGGAAGAUUAGAUUCCAUUCGACUCGCUCGAUCGGCAGCCGAUUGUAUACCUUUCGCAAUAAGACAUUCAAUAAUCAUUUGAGAAGUAUAAAUGGAACCUUUCUACCACCGCUAUUGUAACUUUUUGUUGUACAACUUGUUGAUGAUGAAUCGGAUUGUAGACAAAAAUCAACCAUAUCAAUUUAACGAUUAUUCUCUCUUGUAAAUACACGAUAUUCUAUAUAAUGCACCUGGUUGUAGAGCGCGCAGAGUAGACAAUAAUAUUAAAAUUGUGUCGUGUUUAGAGCGCUUGAGAUAUAAAGAAGAAAAUGCGAGUUUGAGGAUCACACGAGAGACAAGAGACGGUGAAUUAAUCACUUUCAAUCGCAAACAUAGCUGCUCAAAAGUCCCAUGGUUGGGUAAUCGCUCUAGUUCAUAAUAAAGCAAUUAUUUCAUUCAAACGUUAAAUAUAUUGUAAAAUGUACAUUCUGAGAACGGAAGUAAAAUCUAUUAAAAUCUUCAA
Venturia canescens is the source of this 11688-nucleotide RNA transcript. It is a transcript of the gene named Syntaxin 1A, with no coding region annotated. The transcript is spliced from 11 exons. Lineage: Eukaryota; Metazoa; Arthropoda; Insecta; Hymenoptera; Ichneumonidae. The record is from RefSeq and is a predicted model, not a curated record.